AUUUCCCACAAACACCGUCAUUCAGCUGGAAAAAUAUAUUCCUCUGAAAAUAUCCAAUUUUCCAGCCCACUUUAAAAAAAAAAGGGGGCGAGGUGUUCACUCUUUCUCACGGACAUAACUCACAAAUUCCGAAGAAAUUUAAAAUGUGCGAUGAGUGAAAUUAUAUUUUUGUCCAAAGACCGCAGGCCGUUGGAGGCAGCUUAGAAAUCUCUUACAUCUGGAAGAGCCAUAAUUCACGGGAUUUGGCCCAACAGCCGUGACAGGCAUUGGGGCGGCCAGCAGCAACUGUCUCCCGUGUUAGCGGCGAGUGUGUGAGAGGGAGACGGCGAGUGAGAGACAAAGAGUGACAAAUACACAGCGUGCGUCCACUUGGACCUGCAUGUGUGCGCAGUAACCGGGUAUGUUACGAAAGUACGGCACCGCGCGUUAAGCUACUUCCUGCAAGACCGGUAGUCCACGACACUUAUUACAUUAUUUCACAGCUGUUGUUACUUUGUGGAUCAACACAUAGCGUGUCGCAUUACUAUAUUUGAUGUGAUGUCAGUCAGCAUCAUCGACACACACGUAACAAUGCAUCAAUCAUUUUGAUCCAAUAACAAAAAUCUAACAAUAGUGUGUAACAACAUUAGACUUGAAAAGGGGACCAUUUGGCAUCGUUUGUAUUUUUUAUACCUUUGUUUUAUUUUUCCUUAUUCAACAUACUGCAUAUUUUACUUGAGCAAAAGUUCUAGACAUUUCUUCUACCAGAUGUCGUACAAACUCUCACUAAAUUGUGCAAUCCGUGAGAAGAAAAAAGAAAAGGUUUUUCUGAGACGUGUAAUAAAAAAAAAAAGAAAUCCACAAUGUUGUCCAUGUAUCCGGCAAUGUGCACAAACGAUUAUACACUUUCGCACACACGUAUGCACACACACACACUCAUCCGAAAGACAUGCGGCAGAAACAAAGCAGCGGCGCCCGUGUGUUUCAUGGCGUGCCAGAGGCUGCCUGCGUCGGCCCUAAAUAUUACACACAGACAGUAGCUAUCACUUCCAAGCCUGAAAUCCCACAUUCCACAUUCCUGAUUCCAGCGGCUCGCCUGCUAAGCUGGGCACCACAUGAAGAGCCAUUGUUAGAGAGAGACGGGUCAUGUGUCUCUCUCGCUCUGUGUCUGUCUGUCUGUCUGUCUGUCUGUCCCGGCCCUCCUCCUCCUCCUCCUCCUCUCGCUCGCUGUCAUAUAGUCUCCGUCUGUGACUCUCUGGCUGCGUCUGUCUAUCCGUUCCUCCCUCUGUCGUUUUAUCGCUCUUAUUCCUUCUGUCCCUCACUCCGCUUUGUUUAGUUCAUUCCGUGCCCUUCUCAGCCUCCCGUUUCCCACUUACUUUUCUUUCUGCUGCCCCCCCCCUCUUCUCUGUCUCUCCUUCCCUCUCUUUCAGUCUCCAGAUAUUCAUGUAGAGAUUUUCUCACAUGUUAGAUAUAGAUUUACGACCCCAGCCAGAUCCCUGUAGCCACUAAAUUUGAUACCAUGCACUAAGCCGCAUUGUCUUUUAUGUGUGCUUGGGCUCGUCUGUUUGUGUGCAACUGUGGGCUGCUAUGUAUGUGUGUGUCUGUGUGUUCAUGCAUUACAAGGUGGAGGCGGUUGACUUUUAAAGGGUUAGCUUGGCUGUGGUGGGCACAGAGGUAGAAUUUACAGUUUAUUGAAGCACGGAAGGCAGGUUUGCAGAUGCGUGUUCACGUGUUUGAGAGAGAGAGAGAGAGCCUGUGGGUGCCAGGUGACCAGGCUAACCUCUUGGCUGGUGUUUUGGAUUUAGGAUAGGACUUUGGAUAGCGGUGAGAAAUAAAAGGAAAAGGAAUGCUUUUUCAAUUACAGAUCAGAACAAAGGCAAGAGCGAAAGGAAAGAUGAGUUAUUGGCUUCUCACAUAUCGCGGUUUUUUUUCAGACAGGCGCAUUCUUACAAUCUGAUCUUGAUUUUGACUUUCAGAACAUUUUGUACUUGAGUCCAUCAUUCUGUUCGGCUGUUAUAAUUAUUCAUGUCGUCUGUCAUGAAGAUUUGUAUGAAGCAGAAGAAGUGUGAGAAGCAUGAAAAAUGCAUGCCGCAUGUUUUCGGUGCAACUUGUCUAACGACGUGAGCUCCUCGCGCAUUUUGACAUCACACUAUUGAGCUGUAUCUGCGAGCGCUAAAAUGCACACAGAAGUGGGUGCAAAAAUAGAACAUGGAAAGGAUGGAGUGUGAAGACAAAGCAGACAAACACCUGUGGAAGACCGUCGCCGCGCAUGUUACUAAUUCUGACAGUAGUCAGUUCAAAGGCACUCGUCCUCUGCCAUGCAUAUUUUAUUGGCUGGAGGUGGUUUUUGUUGUGUAUUCAUAUCGGUUUUUCGUUUCUUCAACAUUCCACAAGUUGUCAAGAGUGGGGGGGAGUUUUUUUUUGUUGAAAAACGCAUCGUGGAGUACUGAGGAUUGUAUUAUUGUUGUUUGUCUGUGUGAUGUGAGAUGCUAUUCGCCUUUUGAUAUUUCGUAAGUGAAAUGAGAGCUGAAGGUGUGUUUGUUGCAGAUGCUUGAGUGUGCAUGUACUGUUGUUACCUCAAACAGUUUAUCCGUCAGUCAGACAGUAUGUGCACAUUUCCUAGCGCUCGUGCAUGUGUUUGCAUGCAGGUAUUGCAUCCAAGUGUGCGCGUGUGUGUGUGUGUGUCCGCAUCCACACAUCUAAAAGCCAUAUCUGGCUUCAGAUCAAAUGGUGUAUGAAGAAGGGGAAUGACAGACAGAGAAAGUGAUGGCUCUUUAAUGUUGCCUAUCCACUCCCGAACCCAAAUAUAAGACCAACACACGGAAUAGACGUGUUUUAAGCAAAAAGGAGUGACAUGAAACACUUAUGUAGAAAAGCUCUGAACAUGACGUCGGCUUUGAGGUGGAGGAGAAAAUGUCUUGCCAAACACAAAGAAAAAGGGUAAAUUGGAUGGAAGGAAGAGAGAAAAGGCAGGGGCACAAAAUGAAACAGUGACAUGCACUUUAUUCUUUGUUUGUGCGCGUCAAGGUACAGCGAUACUUUGUUUUUAGCUGAAUGGCGAAUGUUUUAUCCAGCUCACCUUUUUUUCUUUCUUUCUAAAGCGUCUAAACCUUCACUAUCAUCAC
This is a long non-coding RNA of Gasterosteus aculeatus aculeatus (three-spined stickleback), 3104 nucleotides long. Lineage: Eukaryota; Metazoa; Chordata; Actinopteri; Perciformes; Gasterosteidae. The record is from Ensembl.